AUGUAUCCUAUCAUGAUUUUGGAGCAUCUCUAUCUUGCCCCCCCAUCUUAAUUUUCUGGCUCCGUCCCUGACAAAGAAUAAAACUAAAAAGCUUAGCAUGUGCAAUUGUACACAAAGAUUGUAACCUACCGGCAAAAGUUAAACAAAGAAUAAAUUAUGGCUUUGUACAUUAAUCUCGAAUUUUGUAUACAACAUGUUACGAAUUGUAUGUGGCGCAGCAUUUAGAGCAACCCCAACGCAGCGACUCAUUUUGUCUGUUUGAGUCAUCUAGACACAAAAGUUGGCCCAACGGG
RNAcentral lists this long non-coding RNA (293 nucleotides) under Hordeum vulgare. RNAcentral's name for it is "long non-coding RNA (HVUL_LNC005421)". Lineage: Eukaryota; Viridiplantae; Streptophyta; Magnoliopsida; Poales; Poaceae. The record is from RNAcentral.